This 547-nucleotide ribosomal RNA is filed under the name uncultured bacterium. RNAcentral describes it as "bacterial SSU rRNA". It matches the Rfam family "Bacterial small subunit ribosomal RNA", at positions 355 to 896 of the family's 1533-position model. The record is from RNAcentral.
UGGGGAAUAUUGCGCAAUGGGGGGAACCCUGACGCAGCCAUGCCGCGUGAAUGAAGAAGGCCUUAGGGUUGUAAAGUUCUUUCGGUAUUGAGGAAGGUUGAUGUGUUAAUAGCACAUCAAAUUGACGUUAAAUACAGAAGAAGCACCGGCUAACUCCGUGCCAGCAGCCGCGGUAAUACGGAGGGUGCGAGCGUUAAUCGGAAUAACUGGGCGUAAAGGGCACGCAGGCGGUUAUUUAAGUGAGGUGUGAAAGCCCCGGGCUUAACCUGGGAAUUGCAUUUCAGACUGGGUAACUAGAGUACUUUAGGGAGGGGUAGAAUUCCACGUGUAGCGGUGAAAUGCGUAGAGAUGUGGAGGAAUACCGAAGGCGAAGGCAGCCCCUUGGGAAUGUACUGACGCUCAUGUGCGAAAGCGUGGGGAGCAAACAGGAUUAGAUACCCUGGUAGUCCACGCUGUAAACGCUGUCGAUUUGGGGGUUGGGGUUUAACUCUGGCGCUCGUAGCUAACGUGAUAAAUCGACCGCCUGGGGAGUACGGCCGCAAGGUUA